UGUGGGAGCGAGCCUGCUCGCGAUGACGGAGUGUCAGACAACAUUGUUGUCGACUGAUACACCGCUAUCGCGAGCAGGCUCGCUCCCACA
RNAcentral lists this unclassified non-coding RNA (90 nucleotides) under Pseudomonas sp. A214. Lineage: Bacteria; Pseudomonadati; Pseudomonadota; Gammaproteobacteria; Pseudomonadales; Pseudomonadaceae. The record is from RNAcentral.